Molecule: long non-coding RNA, 1135 nt
Organism: Salmo trutta (river trout)
Lineage: Eukaryota; Metazoa; Chordata; Actinopteri; Salmoniformes; Salmonidae
Source: Ensembl
UUAUCUAUUGAAAUAUAGUUUGGAUAUAUUUUAAAAUGUGGUUUCAUGGUGAUUUAUAAUUUUUUCCAGAAUCUCCAACCACCUCAGAGAUCAGUCUCUCCAGUACCCAGUCAUCUGUCCAUGAAGAGUGACUUCUCUAUGGCUCAUCCUAUACACUUUAGUGAUGGAUCAGGGACCUUUGACCCCAGAAUCUCCAAGCAAACUCAGUCUCUCCAGAGAUCAGUCUCUCCAGUACCCAGUCAUCUGUCCAUGAAGAGCGACUUCUCUAUGGAUCAUCCUAUACAUUUUAGUAGUGGAUCACGGACCUUUGACCCCAGAAUCUCCAACCAAACUCAGUCUCUCCAGAGAUCAGUUUCUCCUGUACCCAGUCAACUGUCCAUGAAGAGCGACUUCUCUAUGGAUCAUCAAAUAUAUUUUAGUAAUGGAUCAGGGACCUUUGACCCCAGAAUCUCCAAGCAAACUCAGUCUCUCCAGAGAUCAGUCUCUCCAGUACACAGUCAUCUGUCCAUGAAGAGCGACUUCUCUAUGGAUCAUCCUAUACAUUUUAGUAGUGGAUCAGGGACCUUUGACCCCAGAAUCUCCAAGCAAACUCAGUCUCUCCAGAGAUCAGUCUCUCCAGUACCCAGUCAUCUGUCCAUGAAGAGCGACUUCUCUAUGGAUCAUCCUAUGCAUUUUAGUAGUGGAUCAGGGACCUUUGACCCCAGGUAAGUUACUGGUCAGAAUUGAUGAUAUUUCUAUUGAAGAGGAGAACCUUCAAGAUCUGAAACCUGAUGUAUUUUGUGUAUCUGAGUAUAUACUGUAAAGCAUCUGCUUAUCAUUUGUUGUUCAUGUCAUAUAUUUUUUAUACAGUGAGUGUACAAAACAUUAUGAACACCUGCUUUUUCCACGACGUAGAUUGACAAGGUGAGUCCAGGUGAAAGCAGUGAUCCCUUAUUGAUGCCACUUAAAUCCACUUCAAUUAGUGUAGAUGAAGGGGAGGAGACGGGUUUAAUAGGGAUGCACCGAUAUGACAUUUUUGGCCGAUACCCACAUCCAGUAUUUUCCUUUUAAAACAACCCGAAUCCGAUAUCUGGUAUUUUCCUUGCCAAACCACCCGAUAUCCAAUAUUUUUCUUGCCAAUCAACCCGAUACCGAU